UGCAUUUUUGAGUCAUUGUGGAUGGAAUUCAGUGCUUGAAGCUCUUAGCUGUGGUGUUGCAAUAAUGGGAUGGCCACAGGCAGCCGAACAGUUCUGCAAUGUCAAGCUUUUGGAAGAGAUUGGAGUUUGUGUGGAGGUUGGUAGAGGAAAAACCUGUGAAGUUAGACAUGAUAUUUUAGCAAGAAAGAUUGAAUUGGUGAUGAAUGAGACAGAGAAAGGAAUAGAAAUGAGAAGGAGAGCUUGUGAAGUGAGAGACAUGAUAAAAAAGGCCAUUAAAGCUGAGGAAGGAUGCAAGGGUUCUUCUACUAAAGCGAUGGAUGAGUUCUUGAAUGCUGCGUCGCUUAUGAGAAAGGAGAGUAAUAAGAUGGGUACAAAUGGGGAAGGUUCAAAUUCAAAGCAGUUGUGUCCUUGCAGGGAUGGUGCUGGUGAACACUAAAAUGCCACUGUUGUUGCGUUGUUGC
Molecule: unclassified non-coding RNA, 461 nt
Filed under: Hevea brasiliensis (rubber tree)
Lineage: Eukaryota; Viridiplantae; Streptophyta; Magnoliopsida; Malpighiales; Euphorbiaceae
Source: RNAcentral